Molecule: ribosomal RNA, 315 nt
Filed under: Salmonella enterica
Lineage: Bacteria; Pseudomonadati; Pseudomonadota; Gammaproteobacteria; Enterobacterales; Enterobacteriaceae
Also listed under: 2 other names
Description: partial 23S ribosomal RNA
Rfam family: Bacterial large subunit ribosomal RNA
Source: RNAcentral
GAAUGCUGACAUAAGUAACGAUAAAGCGGGUGAAAAGCCCGCUCGCCGGAAGACCAAGGGUUCCUGUCCAACGUUAAUCGGGGCAGGGUGAGUCGACCCCUAAGGCGAGGCCGAAAGGCGUAGUCGAUGGGAAACGGGUUAAUAUUCCCGUACUUGGUGUUACUGCGAAGGGGGGACGGAGAAGGCUAUGUUGGCCGGGCGACGGUUGUCCCGGUUUAAGCGUGUAGGUGUGUGUUCCAGGUAAAUCCGGUUCACUUUAACACUGAGGCGUGACGACGAGGCACUACGGUGCUGAAGCAACAAAUGCCCUGCUUC